Transfer RNA from Felis catus (domestic cat), 85 nucleotides. It matches the Rfam family "tRNA". From Rfam's summary of the family: Transfer RNA (tRNA) molecules are approximately 80 nucleotides in length. Their secondary structure includes four short double-helical elements and three loops (D, anti-codon, and T loops). Further hydrogen bonds mediate the characteristic L-shaped molecular structure. tRNAs have two regions of fundamental functional importance: the anti-codon, which is responsible for specific mRNA codon recognition, and the 3' end, to which the tRNAs corresponding amino acid is attached (by aminoacyl-tRNA synthetases). tRNAs cope with the degeneracy of the genetic code in two manners: having more than one tRNA (with a specific anti-codon) for a particular amino acid; and 'wobble' base-pairing, i.e. permitting non-standard base-pairing at the 3rd anti-codon position. The record is from Rfam. Lineage: Eukaryota; Metazoa; Chordata; Mammalia; Carnivora; Felidae.
GCCUAGGUGGCUCAGUUGGUUAAGCGUCUGACUUUGGCUCAGGGCAUGAUCUCACGGUCCGUGAGUUCGAGCCCCACGUUGGGCU